This 750-nucleotide ribosomal RNA is filed under the name Microbacterium testaceum. RNAcentral describes it as "bacterial SSU rRNA". It matches the Rfam family "Bacterial small subunit ribosomal RNA", at positions 383 to 1142 of the family's 1533-position model. The record is from RNAcentral. Lineage: Bacteria; Bacillati; Actinomycetota; Actinomycetes; Micrococcales; Microbacteriaceae.
CUGAUGCAGCAACGCCGCGUGAGGGAUGACGGCCUUCGGGUUGUAAACCUCUUUUAGCAGGGAAGAAGCGAAAGUGACGGUACCUGCAGAAAAAGCGCCGGCUAACUACGUGCCAGCAGCCGCGGUAAUACGUAGGGCGCAAGCGUUAUCCGGAAUUAUUGGGCGUAAAGAGCUCGUAGGCGGUUUGUCGCGUCUGCUGUGAAAUCCCGAGGCUCAACCUCGGGCCUGCAGUGGGUACGGGCAGACUAGAGUGCGGUAGGGGAGAUUGGAAUUCCUGGUGUAGCGGUGGAAUGCGCAGAUAUCAGGAGGAACACCGAUGGCGAAGGCAGAUCUCUGGGCCGUAACUGACGCUGAGGAGCGAAAGGGUGGGGAGCAAACAGGCUUAGAUACCCUGGUAGUCCACCCCGUAAACGUUGGGAACUAGUUGUGGGGACCAUUCCACGGUUUCCGUGACGCAGCUAACGCAUUAAGUUCCCCGCCUGGGGAGUACGGCCGCAAGGCUAAAACUCAAAGGAAUUGACGGGGACCCGCACAAGCGGCGGAGCAUGCGGAUUAAUUCGAUGCAACGCGAAGAACCUUACCAAGGCUUGACAUAUACGAGAACGGGGCCAGAAAUGGGCCAAUUCUUUGGGACCCUCGUUAAACAGGUGGGGGCAUGGUUUGUCGUCCACUUCGGGGUCGUGAAAAGUUUGGGGUUAAAUUCCCGCCAAGGGAGCCCAACCCUUUUUUUCUUUGUUGGCCGGCACGUAA